RNAcentral lists this long non-coding RNA (1481 nucleotides) under Homo sapiens (human). RNAcentral's name for it is "non-protein coding lnc-ADAMTS14-2:1". Lineage: Eukaryota; Metazoa; Chordata; Mammalia; Primates; Hominidae. The record is from RNAcentral.
CCUUCUGCUGUGUGUGUGAGGACACAAGAUGUUGUCUAUGGAGUAGGGAAAGCCUUCACCAGACACUGAGUCUGCUGGCACCUCGAUCGUAGACUUCCCAGCCUCCAGAAUUGAAACUGGAUUAGCUUAAAAGUAGAGCAACAUCUCUCACACUUCAUAGCUCUUUACAGUUUUGACAACAAGGAUGGGUGCUGAUGGAGACAUGGCUUUCUGGAAGACCCCUUGGAUCUGGCUAAAUGACACUCUUACCAUCAUGACCACAGUUGAUAAUCACCAUGCCAAUGGCUAGAACAAACCACGAAAGGACAAAAAGGAAGGUGGCAACUCUGGUUCCCAGAAGUUCUCCGCCCAUUCCCAGAGAAGGCAUGAAUAUUCCUCCCCUUGUUUUCAAUGCUCAACAUCUUUAUUAAAGAUGCCCUGUAUCUGUGACUUCCCAGCACUCACAAGCUGAGCAGUGUUGUGGGAAGUCAGGAACCCGGAAUGGAGGGACCGGCUGAAGCCAUGGCAGAAGAACAUGGAUUGAGAAGAUUUCAUGGACAUUUAUUAGUUCCCGAAAUUAAUACUUUUAUAAUUUCUUACGCCUGUCUUUACUGCAACCUCUGAACAUAAAUUGUGAAGAUUUCAUCGACACUUAUCACUUCCCUAAUCAAUACCCUUGUGAUUUCCUAUGCCUGUCUUUACUUUAAUCUCUUAAUCCCAUCAUCUUUGUAAACUGAGGAGGAUGUAUGUCGCCUCAGGACCCUGUGAUGAUUGCGUUAACUGCACGAAUUGUUGGUAGAGCAUGUGUGUUUAAACAAUAGAAAAUCUGGGCACCUUGAAAAAAGAACAGGAUAGCAGCAAUGUUCAGGGAACAAGAGAGAUAACCUUAAACUCUGAGCACUGGUGAGCCAGAUGGAACAGAGCCAUAUUUCUCUUCUUUCAAAAGCAAAUGGGAGAAAUAUUGCUGAAUUCUUUUUCUCAGCAAGGAACAUCCCUGAGAAAGAGAAUGCGUCCCUGGGGGUAGGCCUCUAACAUGGCCGCUUCGGGGGGCAGCCGUCUUUUAUGGUCGAAGCUGUAGGGAUGAAAUAAGCCUCAGUCUCCCGUAGCGCUCCCAGGCUUAUUAGGAAGAGGAAAUUCCCGCCUAAUAAAUUUUGGUCAUACCAGUUGUCUGCUCUCAAAACCUGUCUCCUGAUAAGAUGUUAUCAAUGACAACAUGUGCCCGAAACUUCAUUAGCGAUUUUAAUUUUGCCCCGGUCCUGUGGUCCUGUGAUCUUGCCCUGUCUCCAUUUGCCUUGUGAUAUUCUAUUACCUUGUGGAGCACGUGAUCUCUGUGACUCACACCCUAUUCAUACACUCCCUCCCUUUUUGAAAAUCACUAAUAAAAACUUGCUGGUUUUGCGGCUUGUGGGGCAUCAUGGAACCUGCUGACAGUUGAUUCGUGAGCCAAGCUCCCACUUCUCAAUUCCAUGGCCAUUAAAUAAAGCCUGCACUGCUUGAUGCUC